GUGUCAGCAGCCGCGGUAAUACGAAGGGUGCAAGCGUUACUCGGAAUUACUGGGCGUAAAGCGUGCGUAGGUGGUUCGUUAAGUCUGAUGUGAAAGCCCUGGGCUCAACCUGGGAAUGGCAUUGGAUACUGGCGACCUAGAGUGCGGUAGAGGGGUGUGGAAUUCCCGGUGUAGCAGUGAAAUGCGUAGAUAUCGGGAGGAACAUCUGUGGCGAAGGCGACACCCUGGACCAGCACUGACACUGAGGCACGAAAGCGUGGGGAGCAAACAGGAUUAGAUACCCUGGUAGUCCACGCCCUAAACGAUGCGAACUGGAUGUUGGGGGCAACUUGGCCCUCAGUAUCGAAGCUAACGCGUUAAGUUCGCCGCCUGGGAAGUACGGUCGCAAGACUGAA
Molecule: ribosomal RNA, 395 nt
Filed under: uncultured bacterium
Lineage: Bacteria
Description: bacterial SSU rRNA
Rfam family: Bacterial small subunit ribosomal RNA
Source: RNAcentral